RNAcentral lists this long non-coding RNA (1826 nucleotides) under Mus musculus (house mouse). RNAcentral describes it as "long non-coding RNA chr7:87772566-87774392". Lineage: Eukaryota; Metazoa; Chordata; Mammalia; Rodentia; Muridae. The record is from RNAcentral.
AAAAAAAAAAGGAAUUCUUAACUGAAGAAUCUCAAAAGGCUGAGAAGCACCUAAAGAAAUGUUCACCAUCCUUAGUCAUCAAGGAAAUGCAAAGCAAAGCUCCCCUGAGAUUACACCGAUAAGAAUGUCUAAGGUUAAUAGCUCAGGGGACAGCAGAUGCUGGCAUGGAUGUGGAAAAAGAGGAAUAGCCCUUCAUUGCUGGUGGGAUUGCAAGCUGGUACAAUCACUAGCCUGUCUUAAAAUGUUCUCUGAUGAUGAAAGUAGUCCAAAACUGUUCAACUAGCCUCAGGCAUAUUUUUAGAACAGGAAAGCAGCCAUAUUAAUUGCUGAAAGUCCACAAUACCAGUCUCCAACCCAGUUGCAAAUAGUUUCCCCCUCUAUAAAUUCUUCAGCUGGGCAUCUAUAGUCCACAUUAUUCGCUGCACAUCCUCACAUGUUCCUACCAGGUUGUCUCCCAAUAAACCUCACUUACAGCAUCUAACUACUUUCUGACUUCAAAGUCCCACAGUCUUUAACAAAACAAAGCACACAAAACCAGUAUAGUCAGGCUUGUCAUAACAAUAGGUCACUCCUCCUUUUUUUGUCAACUUUUGUCUCAGUGAUUUUUUCUAUUUCUUUGAUAAGAUACUGCGAUCAAAGUAACUGAUAAAAGGAAGACAUUUCUAGAUGUUUUACAGGUUCUGAAGGUUAGGAUCCAUGACCAUCAUGGUGGGAAGCGUGGCAGCAGGUAUGCAGGCAGGCAUGACACAGGGGAAGUAGCUGAGUGCUUAUCUACUAACAUAUAAGCAAGAGAUAGAGAAAGUAAACUGGGAACAGCAUGGACUUUUUGAAACCCAAAAUCUUGCUCUUAAUGACAAACAUUCUCCAACAAAAUCAUACCUCCUAACUCUUCCUGUUUAGUUCAACUACCUAGGAUCAGGCCUUCAAAUACAUAAGUUCAUCACAGGGACUAACAAUGUGUUAAGAUCUGUAGUCCAAACUUCUAGCCAUGUGCCUAGCAUGUAAUAUAUAUUAAUAAUUUGUAAAUGCAUAUUUUCAAUUAUUAUUAAUGUUUUUUAAUCAACAGUAUGUGCAGGACUUAAUGAAGUACUAUAUACAUAGCUUGUAGAUAAUUGAUGCAAAAAUAUUUUGAUAAUGGUAUUGACAUAUUUGUGAGUCUAAGAGAAUUACUUUUAGAUUUUUUGAUGUUGUUUCUUGUUUUCUUUUUUCUUUUCGUUGUUUCUCAAACAGGUUCUUAACUGUGUAACCUUGGCUAGCCUGAAACUCACUAUGUAAAAUAAGCUCUUUGUAAACUUGGAGCUUUUUCAUUUUCUAUGGUGGUAUGAGAAAGUGACUGAGGUAAAAUUUGACUCUAGUUAUUUGGGAUGUCCCAAGUUCUUCCACACAAACACAGAUCAUUAUUAUACCAGAUGUGGAAAAAACACUGGAUCACACAAACAUCUCUGUUUUUGACUGUCUGUAUCUUUCUGAAUAAAGAGGGAAACAUCCCUAAACAGUAAGAGGAGAUGAGCUAGAAGACAGUUUGGUAUUUUUUAGAGGUUUACUUCAGUCACAAAUGACAUGGAGAAUUUACGCUUUAAUUAAAUAGUUAUAGAAAAUGAUUAGGCCCUGAGGAACACUCUCAGAAGUGAAGAUUUUCUAUGUAUACCUUGAGAGUUGUAGUAGAAUAAAACAUGUCACAUUAUCGAAUUCCUUUUGCUUGUUUGCAUAGGAGACAGGGUAUCAGAAUUGAAUCAUUUGGCUUUUUAGCCCUAAGUUGGAGAAGCAUUCAAAAGAGGCGGCUGCAAAGAAAAAGUUAAUUAAAAAUAAACCACCCAGAAGAGAUC